RNAcentral lists this ribosomal RNA (440 nucleotides) under uncultured bacterium. Its description in RNAcentral is "bacterial SSU rRNA". It matches the Rfam family "Bacterial small subunit ribosomal RNA", at positions 91 to 518 of the family's 1533-position model. The record is from RNAcentral.
UAGAGCGGCGGACGGGUGAGUAACACGUGGACAAUCUGCCCCCCGGCCCGGGAUAGCCCAGGGAAACCUGGAUUAAUACCGGAUGAGACGGGACCCGCGAUGGCGGGACCCGGGAAAGGCGCUGCGGCGCCGCCGGGGGAUGAGUCUGCGUCCCAUUAGCUAGACGCGGGUAACGGGCCCACCGUGGCGACGAUGGGUAGCCGGCCUGAGAGGGUGGACGGCCACAUUGGAACUGAGACACGGUCCAGACUCCUACGGGAGGCAGCAGCUAAGAAUCUUCCGCAAUGGGCGAAAGCCUGACGGAGCCGACGCCGCGUGAACGAAGAAGGCCGUGAGGUUGUAAAGUUCUUUUCGGGAGGGGGAACAACCGUGGCAGGGAAUGGCCGCGGGAUGACGUGAAUCCCGGAAUAAGCCCCGGCUAACUACGUGCCAGCCGCAGC